This 45-nucleotide non-coding RNA is filed under the name Schistosoma haematobium. The record is from RNAcentral. Lineage: Eukaryota; Metazoa; Platyhelminthes; Trematoda; Strigeidida; Schistosomatidae.
AUCCAAUUGACCAGUCCCGAAUAGGACGAAACGCGCUUUCUGGAU